RNAcentral lists this non-coding RNA (103 nucleotides) under Caminicella sporogenes. RNAcentral's name for it is "SAM-I sequence". It matches the Rfam family "SAM riboswitch aptamer (S box leader)". From Rfam's summary of the family: The SAM riboswitch is found upstream of a number of genes which code for proteins involved in methionine or cysteine biosynthesis in Gram-positive bacteria. Lineage: Bacteria; Bacillati; Bacillota; Clostridia; Peptostreptococcales; Caminicellaceae. The record is from RNAcentral. RNAcentral also lists the same sequence under 1 other name.
GCCUUAUCAAGAGAGACGGAGGGACUAGGCCCUAUGAAGUCCGGCAACCGGUACUAUGUACACGGUGCUAAUUCCUACAGAAUAUCAUUCUGAAAGAUGAGGA